This is a non-coding RNA of Microcebus murinus (gray mouse lemur), 1002 nucleotides long. The record is from RefSeq and is a predicted model, not a curated record. NCBI's taxonomy places the organism in Eukaryota, Metazoa, Chordata, Mammalia, Primates, Cheirogaleidae.
GUGGGCUGUAGCCCGGCCCAGGGCGCGGUGGGCGCCCAGGCGCUCCCACCCGGACCAGCGCAGGUCGGAGACCAGCGGAGGGCCAUGUGAGCGGGACGUAGUGGCGCUGCGCGGUGAAAACCCUGGUGCGGGUAUGCUGGUGUCAAGGGAGACGCAAGGGCUGGGCCUCAACCUCCUUGGCCUAGGCAGCUGGAAAGCAAGCCCCAGCGUCCCCUUUUAGACACGGGCUUGUCCUACCUGGAAGCUCUCUUGGCAUCCUCAGAAGUCAAUCAUCUUCCUGCAGAUGAACUUUCCAGCAAAGUCUGUCCAUGCUCCAUUUUCAAGACUUGGUCAGCAUAGCAAGUGUUGCCCUCUCAGAGGGCAGCUGUCCACGGUGAUGGAGCUCUGCCUGUGAUGCCGGCUGAUGGAGUGCCCUCCACACGUUCUCUCGUUUUGUUACCAUCCCCUUUUAAAGAUGUGGACACCGAGAUCAGUGAGGUAGAGCGACUUGUCAAGGUCACAUGGUUAGCAAGUAUCAGAGUCUGGACUUCAACCCAGAUCUAUCUGAUUCCAGAAUCUGCAUGCCCAACCUCUAUGUGCUGGGGCCUCUACAGCCCUGCCCAUGCCCCUGGAGCACUGAACAGGUCAAGUCUAUUCCUGAAAGAACUGCUCUGGGCCUGACACCUUCCCAGUUCAUCCAAACAUUCUGCCGAACUCAGGCUUGGACACUAUAAGGAAGAGGAGACCCCACUGGCCUAGCCCGGCCUUAUUUGUGGAAUAAUAUAGGAAAUCCAAGAUAGUGAGGAACUUCCAGAAACAGCAUUACCUCUGCCCCUAGCUUGACCGCACUGGAUAUACAGCCUCCUUGCUAUUGGCCCGGGCCUGUGACGCCCAUGUCGAAGAUGGAGAUGGAGACAGAGUCCUUCAUUGAUUUAGCAAACCCUACUGUGAACUAGUAAUAAAUAUGGUUUCCUGCACUCAUGUAACUUACGAUGCAGCAGAUGAAUAAUCAGAAGUAUGCAA